UGAUAGCGUAGAAGCGUGAGGUUGCUACCUAAUAUGGUAGGUUUUCCGUGGAGCGAAUGUCAAGUUAAGAAACUGACGACAA
Molecule: non-coding RNA, 82 nt
Filed under: human gut metagenome
Description: S10-Clostridia ribosomal protein leader
Rfam family: S10-Clostridia ribosomal protein leader
Source: RNAcentral